AGAGUUUGAUCCUGGCUCAGAACGAACGCUGGCGGCGUGCUUAACACAUGCAAGUCGUACGAGAAAUCUGGAGCAAUCUGGAGAGUACAGUGGCGCACGGGUGAGUAACGCGUGGGUAACCUGCCCUGGGGUUGGGGAUAACUCCUCGAAAGGGGUGCUAAUACCGGAUAAUAUUUCGAUCUCCAUGGAGAUUGAAAUCAAAGGUGGCCUCUGCAUGCAAGCUACUGCCCGAGGAUGGGCCCGCGUACCAUUAGCUAGUUGGUAGGGUAACGGCCUACCAAGGCUGCGAUGGUUAGCUGGUCUGAGAGGAUGGCCAGCCACACUGGAACUGAGACACGGUCCAGACUCCUACGGGAGGCAGCAGUGGGGAAUCUUGCGCAAUGGGGGAAACCCUGACGCAGCAACGCCGCGUGGGUGAUGAAGGCCUUCGGGUCGUAAAGCCCUGUCAGGUGGGAAGAAACCCAUCGGUGCGAACAGCACCGGUGAUUGACGGUACCACCGGAGGAAGCACCGGCUAACUCCGUGCCAGCAGCCGCGGUAAUACGGAGGGUGCUAGCGUUGUUCGGAAUUACUGGGCGUAAAGCGCGUGUAGGCGGUCGGGUAAGUCAGAUGUGAAAUCCCCCGGCUUAACUGGGGAACUGCAUUUGAAACUGCCUGGCUCGAGUUCGGGAGAGGAGAGUGGAAUUCCUGGUGUAGAGGUGAAAUUCGUAGAUAUCAGGAGGAACACCGGUGGCGAAGGCGGCUCUCUGGCCCGACACUGACGCUGAGACGCGAAAGCGUGGGGAGCAAACAGGAUUAGAUACCCUGGUAGUCCACGCCGUAAACGAUGGGCACUAGGUGUGGGAGGUAUUGACCCCUUCCGUGCCGAAGCUAACGCAUUAAGUGCCCCGCCUGGGGAGUACGACCGCAAGGUUAAAACUCAAA
Molecule: ribosomal RNA, 924 nt
Filed under: uncultured bacterium
Lineage: Bacteria
Description: bacterial SSU rRNA
Rfam family: Bacterial small subunit ribosomal RNA
Source: RNAcentral